This 253-nucleotide ribosomal RNA is filed under the name uncultured bacterium. RNAcentral's name for it is "partial 16S ribosomal RNA". It matches the Rfam family "Bacterial small subunit ribosomal RNA", at positions 524 to 776 of the family's 1533-position model. The record is from RNAcentral.
UACGGAGGGUGCGAGCGUUAAUCGGAAUUACUGGGCGUAAAGCGCACGUAGGCGGUUGGGCAAGUCGGAUGUGAAAGCCCUGGGCUUAACCUGGGAACUGCAUUCGAUACUGCUCGGCUGGAGUAUGGGAGAGGGAAGCGGAAUUUCCGGUGUAGCGGUGAAAUGCGUAGAUAUCGGAAGGAACACCAAUGGCGAAGGCAGCUUCCUGGCCCAAUAAUGACGCCCAGGUGCGAAAGAGUGGGGAUCAAACAGG